Pogonomyrmex barbatus (red harvester ant) is the source of this 303-nucleotide long non-coding RNA. Lineage: Eukaryota; Metazoa; Arthropoda; Insecta; Hymenoptera; Formicidae. The record is from RefSeq and is a predicted model, not a curated record.
CUUACUAUUUUUCGACUCUUCGUACCUCAAAGGAGAAUCGGCGCUCAAUAUAAUCGACGCAUUCUGCGAGAGUUUCUUUUCCUUUACGCUCAUAGUGAUAUUAUAUUCAAUAUAAAAUGUAGGGCACAACAUCUUGGGCAGACCUGAAGGAAUCCUUAAAAAAGAUCAAAGGUUGGGAGAAGGGGAGGAUUAAAGAUCUAUAGAAUCUUUCUGCCUCUGAAGAUUUCAUCAAUCAAAAAAUUAAUGAUAAUAUUGUCUUUCAAAAGAUCGACAUCCGAAGAAAAUCUACGGAAGAAGAAAUUC